Molecule: ribosomal RNA, 460 nt
Filed under: uncultured bacterium
Lineage: Bacteria
Description: partial 16S ribosomal RNA
Rfam family: Bacterial small subunit ribosomal RNA
Source: RNAcentral
CCUACGGGAGGCAGCAGUGAGGAAUAUUGGUCAAUGGACGCAAGGCUGAACCAGCCAAGUCGCGUGAGGGAUGACGGCCCUAUGGGUUGUAAACUUCUUUUGUCAGGGAGUAAAGGGCGCCACGUGUGGCUUUUUGCGUGUACCUGAUGAAAAAGCAUAGGCUAACUCCGUGCCAGCAGCGGCGGUAAUAUGGAGGGAGGGAGCGUUAUCCGGAUUUAUUGGGGUUAAAGGGAGCGGAGGCGGAAAUUGAAGUCAGGUGUUAAAGUUUGGGGGUCAACCCUGUUGGUGCAGUUGAAACUGGCGGUCUUGAGUGCACGCGAAGUAUGCGGAAUGCGUGGUGUAGCGGUGAAAUGCAUAGAUAUCACGAAGAACUCCGAUUGCGAAGGCAGCAUACCGGCGCUCAACUGACGCUGAUGCACGAAAGUGUGGGUAUCGAACAGGAUUAGAUACCCUAGUAGUC